UGGGGAAUUUUGGACAAUGGGCGCAAGCCUGAUCCAGCCAUGCCGCGUGUAUGAAGAAGGCCUUCGGGUUGUAAAGUACUUUUGUCAGGGAAGAAAAGCCUGAGGAUAACACCCUCAGGUCAUGACGGUACCUGAAGAAUAAGCACCGGCUAACUACGUGCCAGCAGCCGCGGUAAUACGUAGGGUGCGAGCGUUAAUCGGAAUUACUGGGCGUAAAGCGAGCGCAGACGGUUAUUUAAGCAAGAUGUGA
RNAcentral lists this ribosomal RNA (250 nucleotides) under uncultured bacterium. Its description in RNAcentral is "partial 16S ribosomal RNA". It matches the Rfam family "Bacterial small subunit ribosomal RNA", at positions 355 to 597 of the family's 1533-position model. The record is from RNAcentral.